UGGGAGACCUUCUGUGGCCACUCUCACAGGCAAAGCAACACAAAAGACCUGCAUGGCCUUGCAGACCUAGCACCUCAUGGUAAUAAGAGACUCCUGAAAACAGACGAGGUUCUUCAGCUUCCGAAAGCAGGUGAGAAGAAGAUGAACAGUGAAAACUAAAACACAGGGAU
Long non-coding RNA from Lemur catta (Ring-tailed lemur), 170 nucleotides. RefSeq lists it as uncharacterized. The record is from RefSeq and is a predicted model, not a curated record. Lineage: Eukaryota; Metazoa; Chordata; Mammalia; Primates; Lemuridae. The transcript is spliced from 3 exons.